AGCGAACGCUGGCGGCAGGCCUAACACAUGCAAGUCGAACGGAUCCUUCGGGAUUAGUGGCGGACGGGUGAGUAACACGUGGGAACGUGCCCUUUGGUUCGGAACAACUCAGGGAAACUUGAGCUAAUACCGGAUGUGCCCUUCGGGGGAAAGAUUUAUCGCCAUUGGAGCGGCCCGCGUCUGAUUAGCUAGUUGGUGAGGUAACGGCCCACCAAGGCGACGAUCAGUAGCUGGUCUGAGUGGAUGAUCAGCCACACUGGGACUGAGACACGGCCCAGACUCCUACGGGAGGCAGCAGUGGGGAAUCUUGCGCAAUGGGCGAAAGCCUGACGCAGCCAUGCCGCGUGAAUGAUGAAGGUCUUAGGAUUGUAAAAUUCUUUCAGCGGGGACGAUAAUGACGGUACCCGCAGAAGAAGCUCCGGCUAACUUCGUG
Molecule: ribosomal RNA, 433 nt
Filed under: uncultured bacterium
Lineage: Bacteria
Description: partial 16S ribosomal RNA
Rfam family: Bacterial small subunit ribosomal RNA
Source: RNAcentral